This 166-nucleotide small nuclear RNA is filed under the name Microcebus murinus (gray mouse lemur). RNAcentral's name for it is "U2 spliceosomal RNA (ENSMICG00000023308.3)". It matches the Rfam family "U2 spliceosomal RNA", at positions 1 to 172 of the family's 192-position model. From Rfam's summary of the family: U2 is a small nuclear RNA (snRNA) component of the spliceosome (involved in pre-mRNA splicing). Lineage: Eukaryota; Metazoa; Chordata; Mammalia; Primates; Cheirogaleidae. The record is from RNAcentral.
UUUGCUUCUUGGCCUUUUGACUAAGAUCAAAUGUAGUAUCUGUUCUUAUCCAUUAAAUAUAUGUUUUCUAAUGGAGGACAAUAUGUUAAAUGGAUGUGUGGAGCAGGGAGGUAGAAUAGGAGCCUGUUCUGUCCACUGCAUGCAUCAACCUGGUACUGCAGGUACU